ACUUGUACUGAUUGAGAUUUUAACACGAAGUGAGUGGCGAACGGGUGAGUAACACGUGGGUAACCUGCCCAGAAGUAGGGGAUAACACCUGGAAACAGAUGCUAAUACCGUAUAACAGAGAAAACCGCAUGGUUUUCUUUUAAAAGAUGGCUCUGCUAUCACUUCUGGAUGGACCCGCGGCGUAUUAGCUAGUUGGUGAGGUAAAGGCUCACCAAGGCAGUGAUACGUAGCCGACCUGAGAGGGUAAUCGGCCACAUUGGGACUGAGACACGGCCCAGACUCCUACGGGAGGCAGCAGUAGGGAAUCUUCCACAAUGGACGCAAGUCUGAUGGAGCAACGCCGCGUGAGUGAAGAAGGGUUUCGGCUCGUAAAGCUCUGUUGUUAAAGAAGAACGUGGGUAAGAGUAACUGUUUACCCAGUGACGGUAUUUAACCAGAAAGCCACGGCUAACUACGUGCCAGCAGCCGCGGUAAUACGUAGGUGGCAAGCGUUAUCCGGAUUUAUUGGGCGUAAAGCGAGCGCA
Molecule: ribosomal RNA, 524 nt
Filed under: Pediococcus pentosaceus
Lineage: Bacteria; Bacillati; Bacillota; Bacilli; Lactobacillales; Lactobacillaceae
Description: bacterial SSU rRNA
Rfam family: Bacterial small subunit ribosomal RNA
Source: RNAcentral